AUUGAACGCUGGCGGAAUGCUUUACACAUGCAAGUCGAACGGCAGCACGGGUGCUUGCACCUGGUGGCGAGUGGCGAACGGGUGAGUAAUACAUCGGAACGUACCCAGUCGUGGGGGAUAACGUAGCGACAGUUACGCUAAUACCGCAUACGUCCUGAGGGAGACAGCGGGGGACCGUAAGGCCUCGCGCGAUCGGCGCGGCCGAUGGCGGAUUAGCUAGUUGGUGGGGUAAAGGCCUACCAAGGCGACGAUCCGUAGCGGGUCUGAGAGGACGGCCCGCCACACUGGAACUGAGACGCGGUCCAGACUCCUACGGGAGGCAGCAGUGGGGAAUUUUGGACAAUGGGCGAAAGCCUGAUCCAGCCAUUCCGCGUGAGUGAAGAAGGCCUUCGGGUUGUAAAGCUCUUUCGGCAGGGAAGAAACGGCUUGGGAUAAUACCCCGGGCUAAUGACGGUACCUGAAGAAGAAGCACCGGCUAACUACGUGCCAGCCGCCGCCGUAA
Molecule: ribosomal RNA, 502 nt
Filed under: uncultured bacterium
Lineage: Bacteria
Description: partial 16S ribosomal RNA
Rfam family: Bacterial small subunit ribosomal RNA
Source: RNAcentral